This 2552-nucleotide long non-coding RNA is filed under the name Triticum aestivum (bread wheat). Its description in RNAcentral is "long non-coding RNA (TAES_LNC002349)". The record is from RNAcentral. Lineage: Eukaryota; Viridiplantae; Streptophyta; Magnoliopsida; Poales; Poaceae.
AAAUGCAUAGUAAUUCCACUAAAAAUACACUGUAAUUCCACUAAAAAUGCCACUUGCAAAUACAGAGCAAAAAUCCACUAAAAGUACAUUGUAAACCCACUAAGACUUACAAUGUAGAUUCCACUAAUAAUUACAGUAAAAACCACGGAAAAUGCACAAUAAUUCCACUAAAAAUGCCACUUGCAACUACAGAGCAAAAAGCCGCUAAAAAUACACUGUAAACCCACACGGAUUUACAGUGUAAAUUCCACUGUCAUUCCAAUGUAAAACCACUGAAAAUGCACUGUAAUUCCACUAAAAGUACACUGUAAUUCCACUUAAAACACACAAAAGAAUUACACUGCAAUUCCACUGAGAAAGUGCUAAAUUUACCCCCAGAGAGGGCGAUUCCUCCAUGAUCUAGGACACAAACAUGGCUGGAGAACCAAAAAAAUCACAGGUAAACACCUCCUGUCGUCUCUCGUCUCUUUCCUGCCUGAACAAAUCUGGAAGAAAGAACAGACCUGUACUGGAUGAUUACAUAGGCUAAGUUAAGCACAAAAUCUACACAGAUAAAAAAUAAGAACAUAAUCACACAAAAGCUUGAACUAGGAGAAACCCUAGGAACAACUAGGAUAUGGUCGCAUGAACUAGUAGUCUAUGAUCACAUGAAAAUUGAAAACUAGAUGCCCAGAUCGUAGAUUUCUGAAUUUGGGGAAAUAAACACACUACAGGGAUCAAAACAUGCUCACGAAGGUAGCAAUUCCAUUUUGGGAAAACUAGUUAAAAACAUACAAGGGGGAGGAUUGCUCGAGUUGAGAGAAAAUAUGACUAUUUUCACAAACUUUGGAAACUGAAAAACCAAACAAUGUUAAGAAACUUUGAUAUAGUAGUUUUAGACACUUUCUACCUGUUCUUAAAUAGCUGUGAUUGAAGGACCGAGUUUAAGUAACUUUGGAAGUGUAAACUACCAUGAUCUGAUGUUUGCUUACAUUGAAUAUUGAUAGGCAUUAACAUAAGCACUACAAAUUGAAAUUAACAGAAAAAAGGACAAACACAAUCAGGCUAAAAACGUUCACACUAGAAGGCACUCACAUAGUAGCAACAAACAAAAAGAAUCUAUAAAACCGAUAACAUAUUUACAGUUCAGAACUAAAAGGACAAAUUUGUGACCGUUAGAUCAAAUUACUGGGACCUACUACAAAAUAACUCUACAUUUAUUUACAGUUCGGAACUGAAUACCUGUUUGCAUUAAUAGAUAGUUUACUCAAACUAUUGAGGGCAGAUGCCUACAAUCGAACCAAACGCAAUGAAAUGCAGCAUCAAAGGACAUGUGAUAUACCUCAAUGAGACGAAGUUGAUUUCCUCAACAUAUGGCUUUCCAAUAGCAGAAAACCAUCCUGAAAACAAAAAAAUAACAUUAUCAAAAACAUGCUUUCUCUAACUAGUUUCUUGACAAAUAAAGAGUGAGUCAUACUCUUUUACUGAGCUACUUCAGGCGCAAAUGAUGUACAAGGUUUACAUUGCAAAAAAUCAUAGAAAACUAAAAUAGGGAAAAUCUACCAACACUAGUCAUCGGCUAAUGAUAUUCAGUUUAAUGUAGUGUGUUGGAAAAAGGGGGGAAACUCAGAGUAGAUCACUGUAGCUUACACAUUCCUGAAGUUACAAGCCAAUGGAACAAAACACUCAAAAAUUGCAGUGUAAGACAGACUAAUAAAAGACUGAAACUAUGGUCCAAAUCACUGUUACUUAUAUGAAAAUAUUCAGUCCACAUGACUGUCCAAUUAACUCAAAGUUACAGUCCAAAUCAUUGUUACUUAACUGAAAAAAUUCAAUCUGCAUCACUACCCAGUUCACUCAAAGUUACAGUCCAAAACUCCAAAUCAUUGUUACUUAACUGAAAAAAAUCAAUCUACAUCACUAUCCAAUUCACUCAAAGUUACAGUCCAAAUCACUACCCAAAACACUGAAAACUGCAGGCCCAAUCAGUUACUUAACUGAAGAAGUCAGGCCACAUCACUGUCCAAUUCAUUCACAGUUACAGUCCAAGUCACUAACCAAAAUCACUAAAAAUUACAGUCCCAAAUCAUUGCUACUAAACUGAAAAAAUUCAGUCCACCAAACACACCUCGCGAGACUUAAACCACCAAGAGAGUCAGCAUUUGUAUCCCAGACAUCUACAUCAAGACACAGACCAGACGAAAAACAACCUACCAAACUAGCAGACGCCAAAGAGAUCAAAAUAUCUGCGGGUAACACGUGCAACCAACACAAACAACAAGAUCUGACCGAGGAAAACUCUACACGCAGCUAACAAACAGAUGUGACGAACGACACAAAUCGACGAGAAUACCGAAUUAGAGGAACAGAAGUCGACGGGGAAAAAUAGGAGCCGCGGUGGGCGAGGGGGAGAUGUUGCAGACCUCAGGUGAGAAAUACUGAAUCAGGCGGCGAGGGGAGCUCCAAAUCACCAUGGCUGCUCCGAAAUGAGAAGGGGAAACGAGGAGGAGGGGAACGGGCAAACACAACUAGGCGGGCGAUAGCAAAGGAAGUGUAUCGGGUCUCCAAGAAAU